CCUAAGACUUGUACUACUUAAAGCACAUCUUCUGAAUGCAACUCACACACUUUAAUUAA
RNAcentral lists this transfer RNA (59 nucleotides) under Holcosus festivus. RNAcentral's name for it is "partial tRNA-Ala". Lineage: Eukaryota; Metazoa; Chordata; Lepidosauria; Squamata; Teiidae. The record is from RNAcentral.